RNAcentral lists this ribosomal RNA (476 nucleotides) under uncultured bacterium. RNAcentral's name for it is "bacterial SSU rRNA". It matches the Rfam family "Bacterial small subunit ribosomal RNA", at positions 328 to 793 of the family's 1533-position model. The record is from RNAcentral.
UCAGUCGACUCCUACGGGGAGGCAGCAGUGGGGAAUAUUGCACAAUGGGGGAAACCCUGAUGCAGCCAUGCCGCGUGUGUGAAGAAGGCCUUCGGGUUGUAAAGCACUUUCAGUAGGGAGGAAGGUAGUGUAGUUAACACCUGCAUUAUUUGACGUUACCUACAGAAGAAGCACCGGCUAACUCCGUGCCAGCAGCCGCGGUAAUACGGAGGGUGCGAGCGUUAAUCGGAAUUACUGGGCGUAAAGCGCAUGCAGGCGGCCUGUUAAGUCAGAUGUGAAAGCCCGGGGCUUAACCUCGGAAUUGCAUUUGAAACUGGCAGGCUAGAGUCUUGUAGAGGGGGGGUAGGAAUUUCAGGUGUAGCGGUGAAAUGCGUAGAGAUCUGAAGGAAUACCAGUGGCGAAGGCGGCCCCCUGGACAAAGACUGACGCUCAGAUGCGAAAGCGUGGGGAGCAAACAGGAUUAGAUACCCUGGUAG